GCUAGGUGACGAGGGGGCGCUUCACUCCGGCGGGAACAUGGCGACGUCUCUGGGGACAACUCCCGGGGGGACGACCCCUACGGGGUUGACUCCAGCGGGAACCACGCCCGAGUCAGAGAAAGGUGCUGAAUUCCAGGAGCAUGAGAAGAUUCUGUCUCCAGAUUUUCUUUCAGUUGCACAAAUCACUGAAAUGCUGGCAGAGGACGUAGAUGGAGUUCAACAGAAACUGCAAAAGUUUUUGAGUUUCAAAAAUCUUCAAACCUGUUUAAAGGAAGCCAGUCUACUAGAUUAUUAUGUAUCUGGAUUUUUGUGGGCUAGAGGAAUGGACUUUUCCAUUAUUCAGCAUUCAAAAUUUAUGACUUUACUAAAUAUGUUACUUCAUAAUCUUAGAACACUGCACAUGUCAUUAGAAGACAGCAUAAAAUGGCUUGGGGAAGUUAUGGCUGAAAUAGGGCCAUCCCGUUCACAAAAAUAUGAGGAAUGGAAUACCUUUGAUGUAAAACAAGCUAAUGCGAUUGUUGAUUACUUAAAAAUCAGCUUGUUUCAGCACUACAAGCUGUAUGAGUUUCUGUUCUACUCUGCCAGGGAAGAAAUCUUGAUAGGAACUGAGCAAGUCAUAGAGGUUGUGAAGCCUCCAGGGCAUCCUUUCCCUGAUCCUCUAGAAGAAGGAAUCGCAUUUGGUAUUUAUUCAGCAUUCAUAGAGCCACCUCCAACAGUGGACACAGAAAUGAAGGGGUUGAAUCCAGAACAGGGCCCGGAAGAGUCCCAGCCAAAAGCCGGUAUUUCAGAGACUGAUCCUUUAGUUGGUUUCACCAUUGAAGAUGUAAAAUCAGCGCUGGGUCAAGUCACAGAUGACGUUUUAAUUGGCCUUCAGUUCCAAGUCUGGAAGACCUGGAGAUCUCGUGCUGAGAUGGUUCUUCCUUGAGCUGUCCUUCCUAAUCGAAAGUGUCGAUGGCCACAGGAGAUCAACAGGAGGGCUCACAAGUCUUAAUGUUGUGAAGGAGUCUUUUUCCAGGAAAACAGGGCACUUUCUAGGUACUGGUAUGAAAUAAACAGAAAAGAUCCUUGACUUCGUGGAGUUCAUGGAACUGACAAGUUUUUAAUCUACGGGCAGAUGAUAAAACGUGAGUAAGCAGGGUGUUCUUAGACAACAAUUAAUGAUGCCAGUAAAGCCUGGGAUAAAAGUUUCUGGGAUGUGGGAGAGCUGCUUUACCUGCAGUGCUCCAAGAACUCUUCUUGGAAUAAGUGACUUUUGAGCUAGGAACCAGUCAUGGGCCACAUGCUUGGGACUUUUGUUUCAGGCAAUGAGGAUGGAUACCCAGUAAAGUGACUUCACCCAGUAGAACUUUGAAGCAUUCAAAGCAGCUCUCAGGGGAGAGGGGUGUACCCAAGGUCUCACCCCUGGGACUUAACAAGGUUGGUUUGCAACUUCAGGCCCUCAUAUUCCUAAUCCCGUGCUUUUUCUACUCCAUCACAUUGGCACAAUCACAUGGUCCUGUUUUUUACUAUGCAAAAUUAUAGCUGUAAAAUGCCUGUCAGGAUAAUCUCCAAGCCCAAAUAAGCCCACCUUCUUAAAAGAAUCUUGGUCCAAAUCUCCCUGGCAGAAGAAUUCCAAAUAAAUCACAUAGAUACUCCACUCCAGAAGAGGAGGAACGCAAUUCCCACUCAACAUGGGCUGUGCGUAGUGACUUCUUUCCAAAGAAUACAGUAUGGAAAGGUGGGGGGAAGGAGUAGCUCUAUGCAAAUUUAAGAAACCUGACAGAGACUACUUCUGACAGAUGAUGGAGGUCAGCAUCAGUACUUACAAGGCAUGUUGACGGCAUAUACACGUGAUAUGAGAUGGUGAAAUUUACCUCUGCAGCCUUCCUCUCAGAAAAUCCUCAUCUCAAUCUAAUGAGAAAAGCAUCAGGUAAAUUCCAAUAGAGGAGCAUUCCACAAUAUUCCAGGUCAGAUUCCUCAAAACUGUCAAGGUCACCAAAAAUAAGGGAAGUGUGAGAAAAUGUCACAGCCAAGAGGAGCUUCAGGAGCCAAGACAACUCAUGUUGGAGUUCAGGAUGUAAUUUUGGAACAGAAAAAGGGAAGCUAAAGAAAUAUGAAUAAACUCUGAACUUCAGUUAGUAAAAUGUAUCAAUAUUGGCUUGUUAAUUGUACAAAAUGUACUCUACAAAUGUAAGAAUAGUGGUAAUAGUAAUAAUUAGUAAUAAUAAGGGAAAGGAGAAUAGUGUAGGGCAACUCUGCACUAUCUCCUCAAUUUUUCUGUAAAUCUAAAACCAUUCUAAAAAUAGUCUGUGAAUUUUAAAGAAUCAUGGUCAAAAAAACCAAAAUUAAUUAAAAGAAAAGAUAACUACCAUCAGAUUUCACCAUUGAUGGAAUGACAUCCCCUUCUAAAGAACAUACAAUAAUCAGAUAUAGCCAUUUUGCAAACUAAAGGGGAAAAUGAAUGCUCAUAAAGAAGGAUAAAGUGGUUUAUCCCAUUUUAAAGAGGAAAUUGCAAAGCAAAGGUAACAGCAAGUACAAAAUCCCUGUGAGAAGAGAACAUGGAAAGUAGAGGAUGUGAAAGGGGGCUGGAACCUCGAAAGUGAGAAGGGGCAUUUUCCAAAAUCAAAAAAGAAUAAGUAAAUGGAUAUUAGACUAUGCAGAGCCUAUAUGUUGGGAUAAAGUGUCUUGUGUUUGUCCCGAAUACAGUAAGUUACUGAAAGGUUUGAGUCAGAGACUUGGAGGGGGCUGGCGAAGAACGAGCACAUUUGAGCUAUGCAAAGAGGAUUCUAAUUACAAUGGGGAAAAAGGAGUAGAGACCGGGGAGGACAAGGUCCCAGUACUCUUCCUGUGACACCACGUACGUGUCAGAAGCUUCCAGAAGAAUCCAUUCUCUCAUUCUUCCUACGCACAUGGCUGGACUCCAUUUUCCAGAUCCCUUUGCAGGGAAGUGUGACCAUGUGACUAAGUUCAAGCCAAUGGAAUGUGAGCACAAGUGAAAUGUGCUUCACAAAGGGUACUACUCAAGACCAGACAACGCCUGUUCCAUGCCUUCUCCUCCUCACUGCUGGCUGGAUGGCAGUGAGGAGAGCAAUAAUUCCAAGGUAACAGAGCAGCUUCUGCCUGGGUUCCUGAAGGACACAUGACAGGAGACAUUUACCAACCCAGAUGACAUAUCCAGACUGUCUUAGGAGGAAGAAGUAAACUUCCAUUUCUGAGUGUGACUUCAGCCCUGGGUCUGCCUGUCACAGCAAUUUAGCCUGCCGUAAUUAACUCAAUGAUUCUCUCUCUGUGUCCGUGCACACAUAGUAUGUCUCAUAGGGGUCAGUGUCUGUUGUAAACUGGGAAAACAACUAGCAAAUUCAUUAACUAGGGACUUGCGUAUAGUUUCAUUGCAUAAAGUAAUUACCUCUUAGUUUAUAUAAGCCCACAGUCCCUCCUAAACUGACAUUCUAUGAAAUAAUUGACUGAACCUCUCAAGUGUGAUGAACUGCACACUCAGGAAAUCUCCCACGAGAGGCCACACCUUAAAUACUUUCUACUCUAAGUGAGGCUAGUAAUUUUUUAAAAUGUCUAUGGAUGGCUUGGGAUUUCUCUAAUAUAAUAAGAAAAGUAUAAACAAGAUUCUAGGUUAUUAAUUUGCUAAUAGUUUUUCCCUUAGGCCAGGGUUAUUUCCUCAGCUGAAAUACUCCUUCAUUCACUAAAAAUGAUUUACUAACUGCCUACUCUAGAACCUGACUAAGGCACUUACUAGAGCAAAUAUUGAUAUGUUGGCUACUUGAUAUUGAAUAUGUCCAAUUCUAAAGACUAAUACGUGUUUCAGAAGCAUUAUUCUGAUUUGACUAGUAGACAGUCCAUAGGUUCCAGUAAACAGCACAGUCAGAUCAUAGAUAGGGUUGGAAAUAGAAACAGAACUUAGUUUUCCCUCCCUCAAACAUGCUCAGUCACCAGUUGUUUACUUGCUAUUGGUGACCACCUGAAUCAGAAUGCUUCUGGCUACAAGUAAAUAAAAUCCUAAACUCAAAAUGGCUUAAAAAAUUACAAAAAUACCCUACGUAAUCUAACAAAAAAGAAGUUCAGAGGUAAGGAGCCCUGAUGGCACCACUGAGGACCCAGAUUAUUUCUGUCUGUGGCAUCCUCUUCAGCACCUUGGCUUUUGUCCUCAAGAAUUGUCCCCUCAUAAUCCCGAGAUGACAACUACAUCCUCACAAAAGGAUCAAACACUCAAAGAAAAGGAGUACUUUCUUCUCUCAUAUUUCUUUUGAAGAGCAAGAAAAAAACUUCUCCAAAGCUUGCCUGGAGAGUUUGUCCUGUGUCCUUUUGGCCAGAAUUGUAUCACAUGAUCAGUCCUGAACCAGAUACUGGUAAAGGAAAUAGAAGUGUCAUGACUGACUUAGGUGAAUCAGGCUUCACCCGCUGGGGUGGGGGAUUGGCCCCACCAAUCACCACAACAAAGUUGGGGUUCUCUUUAAGAGGAAAAAAGCAUAGAAUGGCUGUUGGGCAAGUGACUGCCAUUUCUACUCCACCAAUUGAUCCUCCAUAAUAUUUUAUAUCUUAAAAUGUCCUAGCAUUUCCAGCAUUCUUUAGUUCAAAAUUUUGAUGGAUAGAUGAUAGAUAGAUAGAUAAAUCAAAGAGAGAUCUUUUCUUCGUUUGCAAAGAUGAUGGUACUGAUUAUUACCUCUAUGUGCGGGUGCUGUUUUUUAAAUGUUUGCCAUAGAAGAAGCUACUGCAUUCCAACAUGUCUAUGAAAAAUAGCUAGAAAUUUUUGAAACCAAACAUAUUCAGUUCUUAAGGUGCUAGACUCAGAUUGAAUUAUUAGCACCAUUUCCUUUCUGCUGACAUUUUGAUGACAUGGUCAUCAUUCAUUCAACCAAGUGUGGCCAUUUUAGAUUCAGUGAAGUGUUUUUAUUCACGGUGUCCUCACAGGCUCCUUUAUUUGUUAAAACUACUUCAAAAUAGAUAGGCUGAUGAAUCACCAGAACACUGCAAAGCAAAACUUAAGGGCCAGGACUAAACUGAGGAAAUAAACAAAAAGAUGAGGUAAUUACAGACUUGGGAAAUUCAUGAUAUAGUAUUAGAGGAAAACAUCUGUCAUUAAAUAUGAUACGUGUUUUGUGGGAGAAAAUGAUACACAAAUAAAAAGCAUUCAAGUAUAAUGGGAAUUCUCUGUUGAUGGUGAGGUUGCAGGUGAUUUUUAAAUUCUUUUCUGUAUCUUCCAUAUUUCAUUAACUUUUUUUUACCAGUGAGAAAUGAACAUGGCUUCUGAUAGGUUGAUGCAACACCCUAGCCUGGUUUUUUUUGCCAGCUUCUGGCCAAUCCACCAGAAGCUUGGGCAUUUUCACUGUUCUCUCUGGAGCCAGUAUGGAGUCUUUUCAGCAGCAACCAUGAGAAAGCAGCAGGUGCUCUUCAGACCCAGGGAAGCACAAAAUGCUUCCCAGAAACAGCCCCUGUUCUGAAAAAGCUCCCAGUCUAAGUUGGAUACAAUGGCAGGUGCAUAGCUUUGGGUAGACACAUUGCCCUCAUGUGCUAAGAUGACUUCUAGAAGCCAGAUUCCACAGAGGAUUCUGCCACAAUGAACUGCGGGACGCUGGGCAUGCUGCAUUGCCCCCUGAGCCUUGGGUUUAUUGUUAUAAAAUAGAUGGAUUGUCAAUAGGUUAAAAAAAAAAAGAAAGUCAAUGUUGAGAAGUCUUUUCUUAAAACUCCAGAGACACUCUGACUUUAAAAAACUAGAAACUAGCCUUAGAAGGCGACGGUUAAAGAAUAUCUCAAAUUGGCUUAAAUUGAAACACCAGAUGUAUUCCCAUUAAAGCUGAAAAUGAGAUAAGGGUUGGAAUUAAUGAAUUAAUCGUAUAAGUACCUGUUUAAUGUCUGUCUCCCAGCCCAGGCAAUAGCUCUAGGAGGGCAGGGUCUGUCUCUGUCUUGUUCCAUGCUCUGUCUCCAAGGUCUAGCACAGCACCUGGCACAGGGUAAGUACAUCACAAAUGUUUUGUAGAUGGAAGAGGAGGAGGCAGACACACCCACAGGCUGGCUGUUUUCACCACUGGUGUUUCACUUUUCCUACCCCUAAAAUGAGACAACAUAAGGAAAUUAAAAGUGUAGUUAACACAAAGCUAAAAUCAUUAUUUAUAGAUCAUGAGAUUAUUACAUGGAAAACCCAUGAGAAAAUCUAUUCUAGAAAAUAUUUAAGAAGUCAGAUAAAAAAUAAAGACUAAAAAAUAGAUUUUUCUAUGAAUUAAUAACGAUUAGAAAAUAUGCCGGGAAAAAAAAUCUUUUACAAUAGUAAAAAACAUACAAAAUACUUAAAAUGAAAAUAAGAAAAAGUAAAGAAUUUGUGUGAAUAAAAAUAUAAAAAUGUCCUAAAGGGCAUUUUGCUAGAUGCAAAGUUUAAAUAUUGUAAAGAUACAAUUUGAAGUGUAAUUCCAUUGAAAAUCUCACAAUUUGUAUUAGUCUGAGGUCAACAUGAAUAGUGAAAAAGUAAUAAGAGGUAAAAAGGCUUUCUGAUUUAAAACACAGAGCUAAAAUACCUAAAAGUAUGUGUUAGAGCAAAAGUAACAGCCAAAUUAGUGAAACAGAACAGAAAACAACAUAAUAUUGAGAAUUUGUUUUAUGAUGAAAUUUACUUGGGUGGCUGAGUCUAUGAAUUUGGAAUCACUUAAUCCUGAAAUCCUCUCUCAGAUCUGCCUUUUGUAGUUAAGCAUUAUAAGCUAUCAAGCCUCCGUUCACUCAUCUGUAAAAUAGGAAUAAAAAUAUCUAUACUAGAAUGUAAUUGUAAGGAUCAAAUGAAAUGUGUAUUCAUUAAAAUAUUAAAUUCACUAAAAAUAUUUAGCACAGUAUCUCAGUAUACAAUAAAGGGUAUUUUUAUGAUAUACUUGAUAAACCAGUGGGAAAGUAAUCUACAAGAAAUGAUGCUGGGAAAAUUAUUGGCAAAAAAAUGUAUGUUUUAUGUUUAUGUUUUAUAUGUUACAUUUUACAGAGUAUACCAACAAGUUAAAGCAUUGAAUUAAAACUACAAAAUAGCUAGAAGAAAGUAUGAGUGACUCUUUUCCUGGUCUUGUGAUGGAGAGGGCUUUAACAAAUUAAUGAAACAACAUCACAAAGAACAGGCAAAAAGAAUAUUGAACUGUUCGUGUAGAAGAAAAUUUACCAUAAAUAAAAAGAAAAAAAACUGAGAAAAAUAUUUACAAAAAUUGUGUGACAGUUAGUUAAUAACUUUAGUAUAUAAACAGCUCUUUAAUAUCAAUACAAGAAAAUGCUAACAACUCAAUAGGAAGUUGCAAGUGAUCUGAACAAAUAAUUCACAAAUUAUAAAAAAGAAGUACAAAUUGUCAGCGAUAAUGACAAAGUUUUUAACUUUAUCAAUUCUGGCAUUUCUGAAUGCUGUGUAUUUUUUGGGUAUUUGAAGCCAGAGAAAUCAAGAAUGGGAAACGCAGGAUUGAGAUUAUUGUGUACAUGACUUUGUCAGGAAAUGCCUAAAACUGAAUCAAAUAUGUGAAGAUGCAUCAUGCAGCUCCCAUUUAACACCUAUGUGUUCAGGAGUACUUUAAAUUUUUAGGUAUCAGAAUUCAUUUUUGGUAAAUGGCAAGCAAUAUGCCCUCACUGUCUCUGCCACCCCAUGUUUUUCUCUAGUUUUGUAACAUGGUACAUGUGGCUUUCACACCUGACAAUAUCCAUGUCAUACAUGUUGAUCUGGGUGAGCAUGAACUAAGCAGAUGAUAAAAGAUCCCUGAAUGAAAUAGAGAUCUAGUUCUGGGUCUUCUAUCUCACCACCAGCUGCAGUCCAGGCCCUAAGUGAGGCAUAUCACUUCUCCAAAUGCAAGAGUUUCUCCCAAUUUGGUCUAUAAUUCCUGGACCCCACUCUAACCCUUCAGAAUCAGAAGGCAGGUCUUGGAAAUUGGCACUUUUAACAAGUACCCUAAUUAAUGCUUAGGUGCUUUAAAGUUUGAAAAAUACUGUGCUGGUGGACCACCAAGCGCUUCUGAUGUUAAAAAUCAAGUAUUCUGAAGGAAAAAUACGCAUGCUGAAUAGCAGCUCCACUCUGUACAUCUGAGAAUGGCUGCCCACCUCAACUCACAAAUUUGGAUUCUCAGAUCCUUGUUAUAUUUGAGUUGAUAUCUUUUUAGGUUUUGUUCUUCCAAUCUCACGCAUCCAAUUACACUUGUAGCUGCCAGUCUUUGAAAGUGCUUUCAGAAGGCACAUAAAUUCAACCCUGAGUCCUUAUGAUUCAGACAUUUAAUCACACCAUAAAGUUAAUGGAACCCAAUUUGAAUGUAGACACCUCAACAGCCACAUUGCAUUGAAUUCAGAGCAUUCAUAAAAUGUGGGUCUCAAAAUGAAUCACCAGCCUAACGGAAAGUUCAGAGAAGAAUGCCUCCCUCUCAUUGGUCACUGUCCUAAUCUUCAGCUGCCAGGAAAAAGACCGGAGCUGUCAACACAACACUGUAGCCCAGGCAACCAGCCAUGCUGCUAGGAACUUUUCAACACUUAGAAAAAAAAGUUACUAUAGAAACUUUCAGAUGCUCUUUAGAUUGUUUGGACCCUCUGUGGUUUAUAGCAGUAAUGACGCCUUGGGGUCAGACGUUGCCUAUCAACCUAGGACCUCUGCUCAUUCACAGCCCAGAAAUGAGUUGCUUUUGGGGUGCUCCAGAUUUUGCCUGAGCACUAUAAAUUGUGUUCUUCCAGUGCUGCAUGGUCUCUGGGGAAAAAGGAAAUAUAUACUGUGUUUCCAAGACCCCAGUAAUCCAUUACUUAAACAACAGAAAAAUAAUAAUGGCGGUGGCCAUCCAAACAUCCAGAUGUGGUCGCAGCGAUGUUUGGCUUCCACUGGGUGAAGACAUCUGGGUGAUUGAUUCUGAGCUUUCCAUCCAGAUGUUCAACCACAGUGGCAAGUCCACUUCAAACUGAAGCUGGGAGGGGUGUGCAUUUAUCGAGGAGGUACCCAUUUGAGCUCCUUUUAUUGGAAAUGUCUUUUCCCCUUAGUUUUUUUUUUCCAUCUUGGGUAGGAUGGUUUUGUAUGAAAGAACCUUAGGAUCCACAGAACUGCUUAGAUCAAACUUCUCAACUAUGCUUUCUGUUCAAGUUUCCAUAGCCAGUGCUAAGUGGAAGGAAGACCCAAUCCUUUCUUAUAUUUUUAGACAGCUGCUGGAAUUCACUCCAUUCUUAAAAAGUUAUUUACCUGAAGUAGGAACUUUGCACGUAAGGGAAGGAGGCAGGGCUCUCAAAAUGGCUUGUGUACUUUUUGAGUCUAGUGUGCUGAACUACAAAUUUAAUCCACUGAAGUGGUUUCAUGCAAACGCUCCUCUCAAAUUCCUUUUGUACAAAAUCUUGAUGAAUAAUGUAUAGAGUCUGAAAAUGGAUUAAGCUACAUUUGGAGAUGGUUUGAGUUGAGUUUUUUUUAAAGCAGGCAAAAACGAGCAGGUUUUUCUGUUGUAGCCUUUUUUAACCCUUCUUGCUCAAGCAAUCACAUUGAAUCGUAUCUUCUCAAAGCUGCCUUCCACACAAUGUUUCUUGUCUUUUUUUUUCUGUCAAAAAGCUUGAAAUGUAAAACGUUUUAAUUAGAAAUGUGAAGAGUGAAUUGGACUCAGUUCCCUCAGAUUUCCUGACUAAAGCAAGCAAAUAGAAUAGUAAAACCUUUUGAUUUACUCCUGGCGGAUAAUUCAGCAACCAAAUAAGCAGAUGAGUGAAAUCUUGCUGAAUAAAAUGUUUCCUGGUACGCCACGAUCUUAAUUACCCUGAGGACUGUGGCCAUAGAUAGAAUGCCAAUCUGUAUGUCAUGGGGAGCAGAUGUAGUAAAUGCUCAGAGACAUAUUUCUUCCAGAGCCAAUCAAGGCCAGAAAGAGGAAAAAGGAGAUGGCCAGGGGGGUUGCCAGAGUCUCCAAAGGCAUCACAGAGACUUGGCUGCCAUCGCAGGUUUCAGUGGGUCAGUCGUUUCUAAUGAAAUAAUGCUGUACUUCAUGAUUGCUUAUUUUUACAUAUCAUUUGAAUACUAUGUAAAUUGUCCUGGAAGGAGAAUUGCAGCUCAAAUGAGGAGAUCUGGGCUCAAGUCCUAAGUCUGACCCUGCACAGUCAUGUGACAUUAAACUUACUUGCUCUCCCUGGUUUCAGUUUCAUCAUCUGUCAAGUGAGGAGAGCCGUCCUCCCUCCAGCUUCCCAUCUGCGUGCGGGGCCCUGGGGAGGAACAAGUGAGAUAAGUGGGGAGGUACUUCUCAGGCUUUGGGGGUGCUGCUGAAUUCCUUGCUUUGGAUGAACUCCUGUUUUCUCCUCAGACAGUGGUGGCAUCAUUGACUCUUCACCCACAUCCUUCUUCAUCCAGGGGUCCCCCAAGCCAAGGGCAAAGUGAACAGGCUGCUCUGAGAGGAGACUUCCAGCUGCUGCACAGCUGACCACUUCCAGUGGGCUCCACGUCUGCCACCCCAACAAGAGCUUUUAAGCUGACAAGGCCUUACCCCGACACUUAAAAACAUGGCUUCAGAUAAAUACAGAAUGACAUCCUCCAGCCCAGCAUGUCUCAUGGCCUCCAUUCUGAACCCUCGUCUUGACCCACCUUGUUCCUGACCUUGUGACUAGCAUUUUUGCUGCUGUUUGCCUCACCUCUCCAGAUAGUUCCAGUGAUCUGGUUUGGGCCUUUGGAUUCUCUUCUCCAUCAAGAGUUAAUUGAUUCACUUUUAACCACAUUCCCUUUACCCACUCCACCUUGGUCCCAGGACCUUACACCCUAGCCCUGUGAAUGGGACACAGACAAAGAGAAGAUUUUAUAUGCAGCGUAGGAGCUGAGAUGCACCUCCCCAAACAGGCAGCAUAAGGAUUUCUGCCAGCACUGGGGACAUUUUCUCUUUUGGUGCUGCAGACUUAGAACAAGUGGGCAAUUUCAAAUUCUAUGGGACAGGUAUCUUGGGAGAAGGCAAUGAGAGGAAAAGAGGUAGCUUCCCCCCACUCACCUCACCUUCCUACGUUAAAUGUUAGCACACAGCAGCGUAUGUCAACACACAAGGGAACCAUGUCCUGUUUGUGCUUCUCCGUUUGACCUUGAUUCACUGAAUGGAGUGUUGAAUGAGAAAAGAAGACUGACUCAAAUUCAAAUUCAAAUUCAAAUGCAUUCCUCCCGGUUUCACAAUAAUAUAGACUUUACCAAGCUUUAAAAAAAAAAAAAAAAUUCAACAAUGUAGUGAGGGCAAGACCUUGCCAGUUUUGUUCAUUGGAAUAUUCUAGAACUUAGCACACAGAAGUUGCUUAAAAAAUACUUGUUACCUGAACAAAUCCAUGGGAAGAGAAAAAAAUGAUAUCUGAAAGAUUUCUUAUUAUCUGAUGCUGAUAGAGAGUAAAGUUAAUGAUUUAGAGAACAAGUAUCCAGCAGUAGAGCUUGCUAAUACCUUUUAAAAUGUGUUGAUGCUCAUAAAUCCAAAAUAAACGACCUGUAAAAUCACUUAAGAAGAAAUAAUACGCAUUUAAUCAGGCUUCCAGAGGAAAGUCUGAGGGAAAAGCCGAGAAUUUCAAGGAGAAUUAUUAAAUCCCUUCAAAUUCAAGCGCUGGCUGAUCACAGACAGGCCACAUGUCCCUCUGCCCUCAGGGCUGUCACUUUAGGAGGUCUCGCUCAGCCCUUCGUUAUGAAAGUCCUAAAUGACAGCCACCUCCUGGAGCCAGUGGGAAAGGCUUUGGAUCAGCUAAAAAGGGUAAAUCCCCAUACAGGUCUACCCAGCACGCUUUGCCACAUUCCACGGAGGGAUCUUAAAUAAAGGGGGAGAAAUUGGACACGUCACCCAUGUCCUAAAGCACACCAUCUUCAAAGUCUUACUCAGGGCUUUCACUUCAAGUCAAAGGGCUCUUCCUCUGGCCAAUAAAAUUCAGAACACUCUGAACUGCUGGCCUGUGCCUCUGCUUUAUAAUCCUGUUGAAGUCUGGGGACCCUAACCGUGUUCUGGUACCUUCCAUUCCGUCCUGGAUUUUACCUCUUAGUCGGCUAAUGAGAGUGACUUUACCUUUCCUGGGGUUUGAUUGAGGUCCUGAGGGUGGUAGUAAAAUGGAUUCAUCUUUUUGUUACAAACUCAAUUAGCAGAAGUUGGAAUUGCUCUCUUCUACAAACUUAAAUAAAUUGUUAAUGAGAAAUUUACCUUCA
RNA transcript from Camelus dromedarius (Arabian camel), 12085 nucleotides. It is a transcript of the gene named ciliary associated calcium binding coiled-coil 1, with no coding region annotated. Lineage: Eukaryota; Metazoa; Chordata; Mammalia; Artiodactyla; Camelidae. The transcript has 9 exons. The record is from RefSeq and is a predicted model, not a curated record.